RNAcentral lists this ribosomal RNA (255 nucleotides) under uncultured bacterium. RNAcentral describes it as "partial 16S ribosomal RNA". It matches the Rfam family "Bacterial small subunit ribosomal RNA", at positions 524 to 776 of the family's 1533-position model. The record is from RNAcentral.
UACAGAGGGGGCGAGCGUUGUUCGGAAUUACUGGGCGUAAAGGGCGCGUAGGCGGCCUUCUAAGUCGAACGUGAAAUCCCCGGGCUCAACCCGGGAACUGCGUCCGAUACUGGGAGGCUUGAAUCCGGGAGAGGGAUGUGGAAUUCCAGGUGUAGCGGUGAAAAUGCGUAGAUAUCUGGAAGGAACACCGGUGGCGAAGGCGGCAUCCUGGACCGGUAUUGACGCUGAGGCGCGAAAGCCAGGGGAGCAAACGGG